UACGUAGGGGGCAAGCGUUGUCCGGAUUUAUUGGGCGUAAAGAGCGUGUAGGCGGCCAGACAAGUCUGCUGUGAAAACUCGAGGCUCAACCUCGAGCUGUCGGUGGAAACUGUCUGGCUAGAGUCCGGAAGAGGAGAGUGGAAUUCCUGGUGUAGCGGUGAAAUGCGCAGAUAUCAGGAAGAACACCUAUGGCGAAGGCAGCUCUCUGGGC
Molecule: ribosomal RNA, 211 nt
Filed under: uncultured bacterium
Lineage: Bacteria
Description: partial 16S ribosomal RNA
Rfam family: Bacterial small subunit ribosomal RNA
Source: RNAcentral